UUCCCCAAUCUAUUGAAAAGAAUGUGUAUUCUAACUUAUGUUUUACAUUAAGGAUAAAAGAAAUUUAUUGUUAUGAUAAAUUUUUCAUUUUUAUUAAUUAUAUUUGUUAAUUUACUGCAUCUUGUACCGGGGGUUUGUAAAAGUUGAUGACAGUAAAGCUCACUCUGUUCUCAUCAUAUGGCAGGAGAAUAGAAAUUGAACGAAGUAAUUGAACAAAGCCACGAACUUUUUCUUCUUCUUCUUCUUUUUUUGAAGUACUACAUAUACCUAUGGGUCACUCUUAAGAAAGAAGUUAAGGAAAAUGUACUGGAUGUAUACAUAUAAGUAUAUCCCCCAAGAAAAUAAGCACAAUAUAUCUAUAAUUUUUGCAUCCUAGUUUUUUUUUGUUAGCUACGAUAUAUCUAUAAUGGAUUUGAUUUUUCUUUGAUUGAUAUCAGAUUGGUAAUGUUGUUACUGAUGAUUAUCAUGACUAUAUAUUGGCACAUUUAAAUAUUUGUGGACCCAUGGUUUGGUUUCAAAUUCCACGUAUAGGAUGCUAAGAAUUGCUUGCAAUUUUGGUGUUCUCUUAAUGAAAACUGAAUUAGCUUCAAUUUCUAAUACUUAUAUUACUUCUUGAGAAAUAUUAUCUCCUCAAGAAAGUUAUUGAAGUGGUUAAUAAACUUAUGAAAUCUUGGAAUUUAACAUAGGAGCAUUUUGAUUACAAAUUUACAAUCUCUAGGAAUUUACUGAGGUGAGGAUGAUAUAUGCAGUACGAUUCACUUGCAAAAUAAUCUAGAUGAAAACAAAACAUAUUGGUCCCAAAAACUAAACCAUAUUGAUUUUCUGUUGUGAAUGCAAUCAAUUGUGAGAAAAACAUUCUUGUUAAUUUUUUAUCUUAAAAUUACAUGGUUACUAGUCUAUUUUUCUUAAAGGCUAAGGAAAAUGGUUACUAGUCUAUUUAAGAUUAGGAGUUUAGGACUGUCAUAUUUUCUAGAAUAACAUUUUGCAAUUGCUAAAGUCACUUAAAUUCACUUAGAUUCCAUGGCUUAACUUUUCUCUUCAUUGAUUCUUGAAGAUAACCUCUCUAAAAAGCAACUGCUUCUGUUCCUGCGUCUAAUUAUGCCAAGCAUGUUUGCAUGAAGAUUCUCUUCACCUUUCUGAUGGAAAUAAGAAUUUUGAAAUUCUAUUUUGUGUGAGUAGAUUGUGGAGACUACUCUUUUUAUGUUUUAGGGGUUAGACGAUAUGCUGAAUGCUCCUAGAACUAAAAUUGGGCUGAAGAGAAUGGGAGAACUUGAUCGUAAGGUUUUUGUGAAUAACUGCAAGAAAAGAUUUCCUCUUGAAGAAGCUGGGACCAAAGGUGUCGAGCUUUGUUCUUUGUGGCAGGAAAAUGUGAAGAAUUCAACUUGGCAUCCAUUUAAAGUGGUCACAAUUGAUGAUAAAGCAGAGCCUUAAAAGAAAUAAAUGAAUACAAUGCAAGCGGUGGGUAUACUGUUGUGGAGCUAUGGAACUAGCUUCAAGGAUAACAGGAAGGCUACAUUGAAAGAAGUUAUCAAUUAUAUUAUGGAACAUAUCAAACCACUUAAGCGCAAGAGAGCUUAGGCAAAAGCCCAGGAUUGAUGAUAAACACCCAAGAUGGUUACAUCUGCGGAUCCGACCAUCUUCUUUACCUGUUCUGGAUCCUGCCAAGUUCAACCACCCCAGGAAAUUAAAGACAAAAGCUUUUGUCGAUGGAAGAUGGACAUUGGUGUUCAGGGAUGAGGAGUCUUGUAAGUCUGCUUUAUCCAUGAUUCUUGAAGAAAUUAAUUUUCUGAGUGACGAGGUUCAUAGAAGACUAAAGCCUUUGCUCAACCUUGAAACCGCGUUGGAUUUAUCAAGCCCAGAGGAGGAUUCCUCUACACAUUCAACAACAUCUCCCAAUUCGGUGUAAGGUCUUCGACUUUAUUUGCAUGUGAUUUUCUAUUCAAGGGGUGGGAAAUUAUUAAGUCGGUCACCCUUUUUUGUAUAUCCUCCAAAUAGAUAGACAUACCAAAUUUGUAGAUUAGCUACUGUGGUUUAGUGUCAUUCUUUUUGUGUAUUAGUCUUUUCCAUUUUUUUUAACUAUAUAGAUUUUAGUUUUAGAAUCAUGCAAUAAAAUCACUGUCUCUGUGACAA
Glycine soja is the source of this 2130-nucleotide long non-coding RNA. RefSeq lists it as uncharacterized. The transcript has 3 exons. The record is from RefSeq and is a predicted model, not a curated record. NCBI's taxonomy places the organism in Eukaryota, Viridiplantae, Streptophyta, Magnoliopsida, Fabales, Fabaceae.